Molecule: ribosomal RNA, 492 nt
Filed under: uncultured bacterium
Lineage: Bacteria
Description: partial 16S ribosomal RNA
Rfam family: Bacterial small subunit ribosomal RNA
Source: RNAcentral
GGUGAACGCUGGCGGUAGGCCUAACACAUGCAAGUCGAACGGCAGCACAGUAAGAGCUUGCUCUUACGGGUGGCGAGUGGCGGACGGGUGAGGAAUACAUCGGAAUCUACUUUUUCGUGGGGGAUAACGUAGGGAAACUUACGCUAAUACCGCAUACGACCUGCGGGUGAAAGCAGGGGAUCUUCGGACCUUGCGCGAUUGAAUGAGCCGAUGUCGGAUUAGCUAGUUGGCGGGGUAAAGGCCCACCAAGGCGACGAUCCGUAGCUGGUCUGAGAGGAUGAUCAGCCACACUGGAACUGAGACACGGUCCAGACUCCUACGGGAGGCAGCAGUGGGGAAUAUUGGACAAUGGGCGCAAGCCUGAUCCAGCCAUACCGCGUGGGUGAAGAAGGCCUUCGGGUUGUAAAGCCCUUUUGUUGGGAAAGAAAAGCAGCAGGUUAAUACCCCGCUGUUCUGACGGUACCCAAAGAAUAAGCACCGGCUAACUUCGUG